This 254-nucleotide ribosomal RNA is filed under the name uncultured bacterium. RNAcentral describes it as "partial 16S ribosomal RNA". It matches the Rfam family "Bacterial small subunit ribosomal RNA", at positions 524 to 776 of the family's 1533-position model. The record is from RNAcentral.
UACGUAGGGUGCAAGCGUUGUCCGGAAUUAUUGGGCGUAAAGGGCUCGUAGGCGGUCCAUCGCGUCGGGAGUGAAAAGCUGGGGCUCAACCCCAGUCCUGCUUUCGAUACGGGUGGACUAGAGGUAUGCAGGGGAGAACGGAAUUCCUGGUGUAGCGGUGAAAUGCGCAGACUAUCAGGAGGAACACCGGUGGCGAAGGCGGUUCUCUGGGCAUUACCUGACGCUGAGGAGCGAAAGCGUGGGGAGCAAACAGG